ACUUUUUAAUGUUAUCAUUAUCUGUUUUUUCAUAUAAAACAACAAUAUGAGUUCUAAGCUCAUGAAAAGUAC
Molecule: transfer RNA, 72 nt
Filed under: Acinetobacter sp. OIFC021
Lineage: Bacteria; Pseudomonadati; Pseudomonadota; Gammaproteobacteria; Moraxellales; Moraxellaceae
Description: tRNA-Met
Source: RNAcentral